Long non-coding RNA from Venturia canescens, 660 nucleotides. RefSeq lists it as uncharacterized. The record is from RefSeq and is a predicted model, not a curated record. The transcript has 2 exons. Lineage: Eukaryota; Metazoa; Arthropoda; Insecta; Hymenoptera; Ichneumonidae.
CUGAGGAAAGCGCAUGCGCAAGUGCGCUGCUCGUUGCUUGCAUACAACUCCCAAACUAAUCGCAAUGGCGCUACGAGCUAUACCAGCUGAACCAGCUUCCCGCUAUUCGUUGACCCAAACGUGCGCACACCGCAAGAGUUUACUCUCUUUCGCUCUCUAGCUCGCGCUCGAAAGCCUAAUUUAUCGAGGGACUCUCCUCGGCUCGUUCAACACGCCCGAGGAAAGAAAAACUCUGUCCCUGGAGCCCCGCGGGUCUUCCUCAGGGAAACAAAACACAACGAGCGAGCGUGCGCUGGCUCGCCUCUUGGAGAAAUGGCUCAUCGGUGGCUCAUCGGUGUCUCCGCAGUUCGGACCGAUUUGCCAUUGGACUUUGGCGAAAUAUAGAACCAAUAAAUUACAUCUAUAUACGUCAGCCUAUGCGCAUCACAAAAGUGCGUUUCUCACUGCGCAUGCGCGCUCACACUUUCCCAUGAAUAUUUCUGCCAAUCAAGCGAUUUCUCCAAUUAUAUAUUUAUAUACACAUCUAUAUCUAUAUUUCUUUCGCAUAGUAUCCAUAAAAAUAAUCGGUGACGCGUUCGGACGAUGAGUAAUUACGAAUAAUUAUGAAUUAUAUUUUGACGCAAUACCUGCCAAUGACAAAAGAAACUGCGAUUCAAGAUU